Molecule: long non-coding RNA, 16668 nt
Filed under: Citrus x clementina
Lineage: Eukaryota; Viridiplantae; Streptophyta; Magnoliopsida; Sapindales; Rutaceae
Description: Citrus clementina (C. clementina) long non-coding RNA (CCLE_LNC003227)
Source: RNAcentral
GGUACAAAAGGCAUCCUGGGAUCAGGUAACCUUGACUCAUCGAGAACGUCAUCUUUAACAUUGACUCACCGAGAACCCCGAAGGACGUAUGCUGAGAGAAUUAGCACUACUUCUGGGACAUCCCUUUCAGUCGGUUCACCUAAAACAAAGAAAACAGGAGCAGAAACCAAGGAAGAACUUUUAAGUAACUUCUUAUCUAGGUCUGACACAUCAGCUGUAGUAGAACCUGGAAUUCCUCCAGCUAUAAAUGUAAGAAUCCCGAUUCAUUCAGUAAUUGUUUGCGGUCACAUUUGAACAUCUCCUUUGCUUUUGUAGAAAAGUUCCAGCAUGAUUAAAUCCUAUUUCAAUGCCUUGUCACCACCCAAGCCUUCAGUAAUACUAGCUAAAUAUGGAUUUGAUUAGUUUAGGACAGUCUGUGCUGUGUUGAUUGAAACCGCUAAGUGGUAAUUGCAUAGUGAAUCCUUGACGUUGAACUUUGAGAGAUGUAAUGACACUAACUUUCUUCCACUUUAAAUCAGAUUAUAAUGGAUGUUGAUUUAUUCACAGGGUGGAAUGUCUCAAUCCCUAAAAAGCCCUCAGCCAGAUCCACCACAGGGCAGUAACUUCACACUUCAGCUCUUUCAACGUACACUUGAAGAAACUCUUGAUUCGUUUCAGAAAUCCAUACAUGAAGAUAUGAGGAACCUUCAUAUUGAAAUUUUAAGGCAAUUCCAUAUGCAGGAGGUAUGUAUGUGUUGUACCCUCGAUUUACCGUUAGUUUUCCAAAAUUUUUUGUCUCACAUAUAAUUAUCACAAUACUGUUACAGACUCAAAUGUCCAAUGUAAUGAGCUCAAUUCUUGAAAACCAAGCUGAGCUGAUGAAGGAAAUUAAGUCUCUGAGGAAAGAAAACCAUCAGCUCCGCCAACUGCUUUGAACACGGGUGAAGAUGCAUUAUUUGUGUGAUUAUUUGUUGAUGGAAUUUCGUAUCUUCUUGUCUAUUUAUUUAUUUGUCAUAGUUUGUUUUUACUCAGUGCCCACUGCCUGGUGGCCUUUUUUUUUUUUAAAUAGCUAAUUACAAUUGAUUUUAUAAGCAGAUAUUUCAAAGCCGGGUUGAAAAAAGAAAGAAAAAUCAGUUGUGAAGAAUGAUAAAGAUGGAGUGUUCUUAGAGAUAGGAGGUAUGAACAUGUACAGAAGUAUCUUUAUUCUAACAAAAUGAAGCUUUUAAUUGGGUGAUUGAUAUCCAAAUUACCUGUUAGUUUGUUAGGUUAUAGGAAAUACUUACAUUGAAAGUACAGUUCUCUGGUGCUUUUUUUUGGCUUUUUAUUUUGAUUUUUGUUUAAUUACCUUUUAUUUUUGCUUGUGAAAAAUGUAGAGGUAGAUCGGCUUCACUAAACUCGUGAAGAACUGAGGGGGAAAAAAAAAAGAAGUAUUUAAUAAAGCGUCAUUGGCAUAACAUGUUGAUUCUAUAGUGCUAAACCACGGAGUGGGUAUCAAGUGGAGUCAACUGCAGAGUGUGUAUUGAGGCCUAUUUGGAGUGCGUUUGAAAGCUAUAGGCACUUUAUUUUAUAAGUAUUAAAAAAAAAGAUUAUUUAGUAAAUUUUUAGAAAAUUUUUAUUUUUAAUAACGAUAAGUUUGGGGCUAUGGGACUUGUGUGGUUGAUGAAAUAAGUUGUAAAUAAGUUAUUGAUUUAAAAAGUAGCUUAAUAUAUAGUAAAUUAUGUUGUCAUGGUAGUUGUGAGUUUAAAAAAUGAAGAUUGUGUGUUUAAUAAAUUUUAUUACAAAAUAAUUGUUAAUAAUCAAAAUAGACAUAGCUUUAAAUUUCUUAUAUGUGUGUGUGUGUGUGUGUGUAUUAGGGCUUACAAAAAAUAAGUUAUAAUUAUCUUUUUGUUAAAAUAUUGAGGUUGUAAUAUGAAUUUUAAAGAGUAUAGUGACUUAUUUAAUAAGUUGUUUAUGGAAAAUAAUCAUCACUUACUUUUAAAAGCUACUAUUGAAAUAGAGAAAUAUAUGAAACAAUUGUUUUUAACAUAAUUUAUCAAAAUUUAUUAAUGGAGUUUAAAUAAGUCACCACAUUUUUUUUUAAAUUCUUAUUAUAAUUUAAUAUGUUAGCAAAAGGAUAAUUGUAUUUUAUUUUUCCACAAAGUCUAAUGUAAAAUAAAAGAUAAUUUAAAUUUGUGUCUUUUUUGUCAUUGUAUAAUAAAAUAAUAUUUGUGUUAUAAAAUUUAUCAAAGGUCUACUCUUUUUUAAACUCACAGCAAUUUUAAUAAUACAAUUUAUCAAACACUGAAUUUAUUUUAUCUAUAUAAGAAAAAUAAUUUAUUUUAUCUAUAUCAUAAAAAUAAUUUAUUUUAUCAGUCAUUAUAAUCUCAAGUGAAAGGAUAUGCUAUGUAAGAAAUUAUAUCACAAUCGCAGGGAGCUAUAAAAUAAUUACACAAACAUAAUUUCCCUGGAAAGUAACCAAACACGAGAAAACGUAAGUACUGCUAAAUAACGAGUUCUAAUUUGAGUUAGAAAAGUAAUUGACGUGUUAUUCAUUUAUGACUGAUAAUGGAAUAAUAAUUUUUUUAAAAAAAUGAUAUUUGAAAGAUAGGUGGAUCCGAUUUUUAAUAAGUAAAUAAAGGGAUUGAGACAAAAUAUUGAAACUGAUACAUUAUAUUAUAAGAAGGUGAAUAUAUCAUGCUUUGAAACAGUCCCGUAUGGGGUCAUCCAGUGAAAGUAAUUAAACGUUAUUUUGCCUAAUGUUCUCCUUGUGACAGAUAAUUGCUAGUGUUGGACUGGAUAAGAAGCUAUACACUUAUGACCCAGGGUCUAGAAGACCCUCAUCUUGCAUCACAUAUGAGGCACCUUUCUCUUCGUUAGCAUUUAUAGAUGAUGAUUGGAUAUUGACAGCAGGAACAAGUAAUGGCCGUGUGGUGUUCUAUGAUAUUCGCGGCAAACCACAGCCGUUAACUGUUCUUCGUGCUUGUAAUAGUUCAGAGGUGACUUCUUUACUUGUGUAUAUAUUUUAAUAUAGAAUCCCAGAAUUUGCAAAUGUCUCUUUAAUGUUGUUUUUCUUGUAGCAAUUGCUUGUGACAUCAACAUGUUGUAAUCAGUUUUGGCUUGUGUGUAUAUUAAUUUUUGUGUGUAUUAAACUGUGUGUUGACGUAUUCAUUAUUAACAUGCUAAGGUUUCAUUUUACCGUAUAAGAGGCCUUUCUCUUGUUGACCUAAAGUUCAGGUUGAAGUUGUUUGCCUUAUUGUUUAUUUGUGGAGUUUGGAGUAUUAACAUCAUAUUUUUGCAAGAAGUAUUUAAUAAAGUGUCAUUGGCAUAACAUGUUGAAAUUGUUUAUUUUUAAUUUUUUUUUACAGCAAGUAACUUUAGACAAGUAGUUUAAUAACGAUAAGUUUGGGGGUUAUGGACUUUUAUAAUUGUUGAUGAAAUAUAUUGUAAAUAAGUUAUUGAUUUAAAAAAGUAACUUAAUGUUUAGUAAGCUGUGUUGUCAUAUUAGUUGUGAGUUAAAAAAAUGGAGAAUGUGUGUUUAAUAAAUUUUAUUACAAAAUAAUUGUUAAUAAUCAAAAUAGACAUAGCUUUAAAUAUAUAUAUAUUAGGGCUUACAAAAAAUAAGAUAUAAUUAUCUUUUUGUUAAAAUAUUAAGGUUGUAAUAUGGAUUUAAAAAAAGUUUAGUGACUUAUUUGACAAGUUGUUUAUGAAAAGUAAUCAUCACUUACUUUUAAAAGAUACUAUUGAAAUUGAGAAAUUUAUGAAACAAUAGUUUUUAACAUAAUUUAUCAAAUAUCUUUUUGUCAAAAUUUAUUAAUGGAGUUUAAAUAAGUCACCACAUUUUUAAAAAAUUCUUAUUAUAAUUUUAAUAUUUUAACAAAAGGAUAAUUGUAUUUUAUUUUUCCACAAAGUCUAAUAUAAAAUAAAAGAUAAUUUAAAUUUGUGUCUUUUUUGUCAUUAUAUAAUAAAAUAAUAUUUGUGUUAUAAAAUUUAUCAAAAGUCUAUACUCUAUUUUUUAAACUCACAAUAAUUUUAAUAAUACAAUUUUAUCAAACACUAAAUUAUUUUUUUAAUUAAUAGUAUAUUUUAUUUAUACCAUAAAAAUAAUCUAUUUUAUCAAUCACUAUAUUACUAUAAUCUCAAGCUAACUUUAAAUGAAAAGAUAUGCUAUGUAAGAAAUUAUAUCACAAUCGGAGGGAGCUAUACAAUAAUUACAUAAACAUAAUUUCCCUGGAAAGUAACCAAACACGAGAAACGAAAGUACUGCUAAAUAACAAAAUUUGAGUUAAAAUCUUAAUUGACGUGUUAUUCAUUUUAUGACUGAUAGUGGAAUCAUAAUUAAAAAAAAAUGAUAAUUGAAAGAUAGGUGGAUCCGAUUUUAAUAAGUAAAUAAUGAUGUGUUUACUAGGGUUUAGGAGAUAUGAAUGAAUGAAUGAGAAUGAAAAAUAUAUUUACUUAGUAAAAUAUAAUUUUAGAGUGAAAAUAAAAUGUGUGGAUCCCACGUAAUUUAAGAAUAAAGAAUGAGAAUCACAUUCUCAUGUGAGGGUUGAGAAUGAGAAUAAAUGAAUGAAAAUGUAACUCAUAUUUACUUUUGUAUUCUUCUAAUUUUUUAUAUUUAUCAAAUUAUUCUCGUUCAAAUCACAAAUAAUUUUAUUAUUUUAAAUAUUAUUAUUAUUAUUAUGAUCAAAAUUUAUUAAGAAGUAAAUAAAGGGAAUGAGACAAAAUAUUGAAACUGAUACAUUAAAAUGGCUUGCAUAAAAAAAAUCAACGUCACGGUGACCCCGUCGUUUAGCGUUCGCAAACACAAUGACGUUCGACUUCAACCCUCCACCCAACCCCAAUCCCAAUCCCGUCUUCAUAUUUUCCCCAAACCAACAACCACUUCCACUUGCUAUCUCUCUCUCGCCGCCUUGAACACCACCAAAACGGUCUCCUCCUCUGUCGUUUCACACGCACACACGUGUCCACCAAUACGUGUUCACAUUCUAUACUAUACCAUUCUUUUUUCAUCACUUAAAAGUUAGUUAUUUCUGUUGAAUUCAGGUUUUUGAAUUGAGAUUCAAAUCGAAAAUGGCAGAAGGUAAUAAAACUGUUACUGCAUACGAGGAAGCGUUGGAUGCUUUGUCUUCUCUUAUAACAAAACGCAGUCGUGCUGAUAAGAGCAACAACGGGGAUCGCUUCGAGCUGCUUUCCGAUUAUCUAAAGGUAAAUAUUUUUCGUUUCUUUAUUAUUAUUAUUAUUUUACUUUUUUACUGGUGCAAAUUAUAAUGAGAUUGAACUAACUCUGUUCUAUAGAUUUUGGACUUAGAUGUGGCAAUUUCUCAAUUGAAGGUUAUUCAUGUUGCUGGUACCAAAGGAAAGGUAAUUUAUUUUUGUUUCUCUAUCUUUUUGAAAAAAUAAAUUUGAGCUUAAUUCUAUGUUGCAUAUUUAACUACCUUCUGAUAGCCGCUGUGAGUUCAUAAAUUGAGAAUUUAAAAUUAUUAAGAUUUUACACUUCGGAUGUGUUUUCAAGUUUUUGAGCAUAUUUCUAUUGAAUUUCGUACAAGCAUUCAAUUGAAAGUCCUAAACUAAGUGGUUGACAUGAGUUCUACUAGGCAAAUAUAAUUUCAAUGUCGUUUGACAUGAGUUCAUUUUUUUCCUUUUCAACUGGAAAGGGAUCCACCUGCACAUUUACGGAAUCUAUAUUGCGUAAUUGUGGCUUCCGGACAGGACUUUUCACAUCUCCUCACCUCAUUGAUGUUAGAGAAAGAUUUCGUUUGGAUGGGUGAGUUCUUCAAUUCCUCGAAUAGAUGUAUGUUCAUUUUAUUUAGGCAUGUAUGACCGGAAACUAAAUCUUGCCACACCCCAUUUGAGUGGGCUCAAACCCAGACCCCUCCCUGAGCGGUUUUACUAGUUGAACCAACUAACACGCUCAAGUAGAGUUAGCGUACAUUAGUCAAAUUAAUAUUAAGUUAUAUAUAUGACCUAUACUUCACUUAAUUUUCUGUUGUUUGAUUCUCAAUUAAUACUCGUUAUUAUGUGAUUCUGGUUCUUUGGAUAAACUAGACUUGUAACAUUUUCUUAACUCAUUGAACAAAAAGCAGAGUCAAAUUACAGUUUAUUUUCAAGUGACUAAUUUUCUUUUUUUUUUUCUUUUUCUUGGAUUGAAACUCAAUUUAAUUAAUAUAUAUCUCAAAAUAUUUCUAGCAGUACGUGAUCUUUUAUAUAUUUCAGAUUCACAUUUUGCUAAUUUCGUUGGCCUUAGGAAGUGCCAAUUACUUCGCUGAAGUUGGGAACCAUACUUGCAGUUUCACUCUUUUCUAUACGUAUUGUGUUUAACAUUGUGGAUAUUUAAAUUAAUGGCUGUUUUGCGUGCUGUAGUGAUGACAUAAGUGAAGACAAAUUUUUGGCAUAUUUUUGGUGGUGUUAUGAUAGACUGAAGGUAUGUUCUUGCCUUGUUUACUCUUUUUUCCUUCUAUUUAAAUAUUAUUCUAUCCCUAUACUUUGGAUUGUUCCAUCCUAAAAAAUUCUGUUAGUUGUGAUCCAUAUGCUUGGAGAAUGAUUCAAGUUGGGUUAAUUGUAUCAGGAUACAUUUACUUAAAAUUGGUGGAAUCAUGCUUAUUCUUGGAUUAAAUAUUUACGUACUGCAAGGGAAUCAUAUUGAUCCAUGAAUGAAAGAGUUGUCUCUUUUAUGCAAAGCUAUGUGAUUUCAUGGUGUAUUUAUUUGCAUCUUUUUUCCUUUCCUUCAUUUGUGUAUGCAGGAAAAAGCUACUGAAGACAUACCCAUGCCUUCUUACUUUCGCUUCCUUGCAUUACUUGCCUUCAAGAUAUUUACAGCAGAGCAGGUUUGAUACAUAUAGUUUACCUCUUGCAAAAUUUCGUACCUAGUACCUGAAUAUUAUUUCUGUCCAGAUGUGUGGAGUGGGAAAUAUUACCUUUACCAUGUUGUUCUAUGCAGAUAGAUGUUGCUAUCUUAGAGGUUGGAUUAGGUGGAAGGUUUGAUGCAACAAAUGUGGUAUGUUUUGAUGUUGUUUGAUGAAGAAAUCAAUAUAUUCAUAUCAUUUUUAGAUCUCUUGUCAUAAACAUCAUUUUAUAAAAUUAUUCCAAUUGUAUCAGGCCAUCUACGCGCUAGGAUACAUAUUGUUCUGAAAGUUCUAAUAGGCAUAACAAACUUCAUUUUUCAGGUUCAGAAACCUGUAGUAUGCGGCAUUUCUUCCCUUGGGUAUGACCACAUGGAGAUUCUUGGUUAGUUCUAUUAUUCCUUAUAUUUAGGUAAUUGCUCAUAGUUACUCAAUGUGUAAAUAGUAAGCAGAGCUUAAUAUAGUGCAUCACUACAUUCUAAAUUCUAUUAGAACUUUCUGUCAAAUGCUGCAAUAGGUGCAGACAUGUUCUGGUCUUGAUUUAUGUAGAAAAUGGUCAUUACAGCGGAUAAGAGAAUGAUUUGUGCCAUACUAUUCUAGUUCAGUGUUACUCACACUGAGGUUCCAACCAAAGAGUGUUGCCUGAAUUAGUAUCUGGCAUGAGUCCAUGCCAUUAUUUUAAUUGAUGACUGAUACGUGGAUUUGUUGAAAGUUUACUUUUAAAUUCCCUUUCAAGGCUACUUGUUGAUAUGUAGAUGUGCCUUGAUGACCUAAGAGUUUAAACUAACUUGUGGAAUCCAUACUUUAAUGAUGACAUGAAUUCUCAACAACUGAUUUUUGGGAUAGUCAUAGUCAGUAUCUUCAACAUUUGGAGUUUUUAGCUUCCAAAGGCAUCCAAGCUUAAAUGAUAGCAUAAAAAUUAUCGGAAAAGCACACUCGAAACUUGAACGUAUUAGAUGCUCUCCAAAACUAUGCUCUCUGAUGAUUAUUUCGGCUUAUAAUAAUUGAAAUUUCAUUUCUUUUGUUGGCUGCUAAAAACAGGAAAUACACUUGGAGAAAUUGCUGGGGAGAAGGCUGGUAUCUUUAAGGUUUAUACAGAUUACCAUUUACUCAGAAAAAUCUAUGCGAGUAGUAUAUGCUUUUUCCAGGCAACAGAGUUGGGAGUUUCCUUUAAUACUUUUCUUCAUUCCCUUUCUGUUUCCUGAUGCAGUAUGGAGUUCCUGCUUUUACUGUACCUCAGCCUGAAGAGGCAAUGCGUGUACUUGAAGAGAAUGCUUCCAAGUUGGAUGUAGGUUGCAUUUUCUUUCAUGAAUGAGUUUGUUUUCGUGCACAAAUGGAAAAUGCAUGACUCAAAACUUAGCUGACAGUUAGUAAGAUUGACUUGUGUAAGUCAAUUUGAUGAUCAUGCUAAGCUAAAACUGAGAGAUCAAUCAAAAAUCAGUUUGUGUUCUGGUACAUAAAAUGCGAAUCUGGGUUUACAAUACUGAUUUAGUGUUAGCAUUUUCUUAGACCUAAUAAGGCUUCCCGGUGGUUUAAAUCGCAAGUCCAACUGCAUUCUUACUUGAUAUUAUGAUUUUGAGGGUUGAUACGCUUAGGAUUUUGAAGAAUUGGCAAGUCGUAUACAACCUGGUAUAUAUGGUUUUGAGGCAUUUUGUUUUACAAAUUAUGUCUCUUUCAUCUGCUCCACCAAGGUAGUUCUAAGAGUAUCUUAUCCAGUUGUCUGAUCUUAAUUUAAGUUGGGGCCUCUAAUUGUUGAAGGCUCUAAAAUUAGUGAACACUGACAUUGUAUCAUGUAAAAACUUGGUACUUCUGAUUUUUCUGAUAUAAUCAGGUUAUGCUGCAUUUUAGAAAAGAAUGAUAAGGUUGCCUUCACUGAGCACUGAGAAAAUCAUACUGAUGACAGGUACCUCUUCAAGUAGUACCACCGUUGGAUGCAAGUUUGCUGAAUGGUUUGAAGCUUGGGCUUGAAGGUGAACAUCAAUAUAUGAAUGCUGGUCUUGCUGUUGCUCUAAGUUCUACUUGGCUUCAGAGGACCAGUCAACUCGGAAUUAACUACCUGGAUACAACAGUAUGUUCUUUUCAUAUGAGUUUGGCAUUUUUUCUUCUACUUUGUGACUCAGGCAUAUGUUCUCUUGUUAUAUUGGUUUCCUCUUUCACCUUAUGUUGUAUUUAUCUGCAUGGCGCAGAGUCCGCUUCCUGAGCAGUUCAUCAAAGGUCUAACAAUGGCCAACCUGCAAGGACGGGCUCAGAUUGUUCCUGAUCGAUAUACAAACUCUGAAACAUCUGGAGAUCUGGUGUUCUAUUUGGAUGGAGCACAUAGUCCUGAAAGCAUGGAAAUAUGUGCAAGAUGGUUUUCUCUGGCAAUUAAGGAGGAAAAUCAGCAAGAAACCUUUGAUUUUCAACCACCAAAUAGUUCUGGAUCUUCCAAUGGAUUGCCACAGAGACAGCAUGAUGGAAAAAUUAGAAAGAACUCUGCACAGGUAGAGAAAGUGGCGUCAUGCUUCAAGAGUAUAUAUGCUUUAAUUGGUAAAUCCACUCUGAUUGAUUUCUAUACUCCAAAACCACAGGAGAACUCGUAAUUUAGUUACGCAAAUUCUUUAAAGUAGAGAAUAUAGGUGCUUCAGGUCACAUGCCUUUUCCAGUGACAGCAGAUCAUAUGCUUUAAAUGAAGAGAGCCACUUGAUUAUGUGAUAAACACAAUAUUUACCAAUAAAAAAUAGCUGAGAUGGACUUCAUUCUCACCUCUAUAUAUGAGAUUUUCACUGAAUUUGGCUUUCCUCUAUUUUCAGACCAAAAGUUUGCAUUACUUUCAGUCAACACAUCUAUAAACACAGCUUUUGAUAGUGUCUUCAUAUAUUUGCAUGUGAUUUUGUGGGAGCAUCCUGAAUUUUAGAUUGUGAUAUUUAUUGUGUACUCAGAGAAUAUUCCGCUGCACUGGGUCACAUUUGUGUUGAUGGUGAACUAAACUUGUUGAAAAAUCCUUGCAGAUUCUGUUGUUCAAUUGUAUGUCGGUGCGAGAUCCUCAGUUGCUUCUUCCUAGCCUGAUGAAAACUUGUGCCAGACAUGGUGAGUGCAAGUCAUCUUUUAGAGUUAUUCUCCUACGUUUUUUUAGAACAUGUAGGACUCAUAUAUGGUUGAAGUACUUGGUAGUUUAUUACUGUAUUUUACAGAAAAGAAAAGAAGAUAUUUGAUUUUUAUUUUGAUGGUAUUUAUCACGUUGGUUUAGCUUAAACAUCUCAUUGUAACUGUAGGUGUUUACUUCAAGAAGGCUCUGUUUGUGCCAAAUGCAUCAGUGUACAAUAAGGUUGGAUCCCAUGCUUUACCGCCAACUGAGACUCAAAUCGAUCUGUCCUGGCAGUUUGCUCUUCAAAGAGUGUGGGAAAACCUCAUGCUGGGUGAUAAAGGUAUCAAUUAUAUGUGCGGUACCCAUCGUUGUGAUAAUCAUAUUGCAUCAGCCUGAACUGGUGAAAUAUCUCGCGAUUUUCCUUAAUAGAAAUAAGUAGUUUAUCUAAAGCCAGCUGUUUUUGUUUUAUCUAUGAAAAUGUUAUUUUUUGAACUCAUUUGCAGGGGAGGCCAAGAAUACAGAUAAUGCAUCUGAAGAUGUAAAAGACGACACAGAAUUGAGUGCUAGGAGCUGUGAAAACAGUGCAGUCUUUUCUUCUCUGCCACUGGCUAUUAAAUGGCUCAGGGACAGUGUCCAACAGAAUCAGUCUCUUCGUUUUCAGGUAACCGUUGUCGUCAUGUAAGGUCUCUGUAUUGGAUUUACAUUAUUAUCAAUCAAAAUUUUCUCUUCAAUUAUCAGGUCCUUGUAACUGGUUCGCUUCAUCUCAUUGGUGAUGUGCUGAAAAUAGUGAAGAAGUGAGUGGGAGUGACAAAAGUCCAUGUUCAUUAACGGCAAGUUUCUCUUCAGAUCAUCUUGAUGCAAUUCAUGUCAGCAACAUGGGGCAAAUGACAAACACAUUCGUUGGUCAAGAAAACGUAUUCAAUUAAUUUUAACCCGACGGCAGCAUACAAUUUCUCCGAAAGAUUUACAGCUUCGUAGGGCCUGUACUUCAUUAGAAGAUGACAAAAUUUUUACCGACACUUGAAAGUUGUUCACUUGAGAAAAAAAGAUUUUGUAAUUGAUACCGCUGUUGGUUCAAGGAGUUGCAAGUUAUUGGAGAGAUUACAAUUCGAUGGCUCAUAGUAUUAUUAGUACAUCAUCACACAUGCAAAAGACAAACUUAUGCCACUUCUCUGCGGGCGUAUUUAAUCGUGUGUCGUCUCAACCACAGCUGAUACAUCACCAUAUGAAACGCAUCGUACGGCUGUGGUUGCUCAUUCCAGACAAAGUGCUUACCCGCCGUUACACCCAAUUCCCUCACCUCCCCGUACCUGUCAUCCCCACCACACGUGCGAUACAACACGCGCUUCAACUCCUGCACCGUAACCCCGGCCCGGCCUUUAUUCCAUCCCACAAACACCGCCAUCUCCUGCCACCUCAGCACGUCCAUCAACGGCAGGUCCUGGAUCGGACAAAAACAGGAAGUAAUCUUAAAAGAUUUUACAUACCCAAAAAAAUAAAAAAGAAGUAAUCUUACACGAUUUAUAAAAUUAUAUAUACAUCAAAAUAAAUUUUCAUCUCAUACUGUUCAAACCCUAGAAAAAAAAAUUAAACCUUAACCUUAUCUCUUUCUUUAUUCCCCAUCUCAAUCACCAUGAACAAUAACAACAACAAUAGCAACAAUAUUGAUCCCAACAACAAAAAGAAGAUAACAAAGGGGAGGCAAAAGAUUCAAAUCAAGAAACUUGAAGACAAAAAUAGCCUGCAAGUAACCUUCUCGAAGCGCCGGUCUGGCCUUUUUAGCAAAGCCAUGGAGCUAUGCGUCUUGUGUGGUGCUGAAGUAGGUAUCGUUGUGUUUUCUCCCAAUGGGAAGAUCUUCCUCGCCGGCCAUCCUGACUUUGACAAGAUUUUGAAUCGUUAUCUCGACCAAAAUCACUCGUCUCUAGACGAAGUUAACGCGAUACCAUGUGUACAACAACAUAACAAAGAGUAUGAAGAUGCCACACAAGAGUUGGAGAAUGAGAAGAAGAGGAGGAAGAUGAUUGAAGAGGAGAAAAAAAAGAAUAAAAAUAAUGGUAGGUUCUGGUGGCAAGAGGGUAAUAUUGUUGAUGAUAUGGGAAUUGAAGAGGUUGAAGAGUACUUAAAGGCUAUGAAGAAAUUGAAAGGGAAGGUUGAAAUGAGGGUUAAUGAAAUGAUGAUGGAUGAAUAUUUGGUGCCUAAUAUGAAUUUGGGGAAUGAUCAUUCAGAUGUGUUUGGUAAUAUUAAUGUUAAUGUUAAUGAAAAUAUUAGUGUUAGUGGAGGAAUUGAUGGAGGAGUUGAUUUUGAUUUUGGUUUCGGUGAGCAUUUUAAUUAGAAUGCAACGUGAGAGAUAGAUUGAUAAUAAAUAAUGUUUUUAAUGUUUAACAUUUAUUUUUAUUUUUGUUUUAAGUUUGAAUAAUAUUUCUGAUUUUGUUAUUUUCUUAUGAAUUAAAUGAUUAGAAAUAAAAAUAUAAAAUUUAUUACUUUACAAGUUGCUCAUAAUAUAUAUAUUUUCUAAUGAAAUAAAAUUUUAUGCAUGAAUUGAAAAGGAUUUUAUUAUAAAAAUAGAUUGUUUGGUGAUUGUUUCAAUAGUACUAUCACUGGAUCUUUUUUUCUAUUAUUUCUUUCCGCCAUAUCUUGAAUAGCGGGUUGGUUACACCUACAACCGAAGUGGAAACCGAGCGUUUCGUGGUUCAAAAAUGCCGAAUCUCGUCUGAAUCAUCAUUUGUCAGGACUGUUCGGAGUAAGUUCCUUGGCUUGGACAGGGCAUUUAUCAUAUGACUUUUGUUUUAUCAAUUAAUCUUGAUCUAAUGCUGGAGAAGAUAAGAAAAUAUCAUUGUGGAGGAAGAAUGGGGAGAGCAUGGGAACAAUUCCGGUAGCUGGUACAGAUAGCGGAGACAAUAUUGAGGUAAUCCUCUUCUAGCUCUGAUCUACCAUCAAUCGAAGCAUUAAAUUUGAAGCAUGUGGGUUUGUGUAUGUGUACUUCUAACACCAGUCAUUCUAUCUUCUAGAGAUUCAAUGACAGAACAGUGCAUGUUCGAUUGCACGCCAGCAAUGGCUCACCCGAAGCCACUUUUUAAGCAGUUGUCUUCUGUGUGGGAAAGGUUUUGAACUUUAAUUGUUUUUUCCCCUGAAUUUGUCAUUCAUUCUGCCAGCUUCAGUUGCUUGUGGUAAACUAAAGAUCCACAUUUUCCAGUAAAUGGGCUUUAUAGGUCUAAAGUAUCAACUUAUUUUUGGGAAUUUUUCUCAUAUUUUCAGGAAUCAAUAUUGGCUAUUAGUUUUAGCAACAAGGGAUCCAGAUAUAUAUGUUCUGGGGGAAGCAGUCAAGUUGUAAGAAUAUGGGACCUUCAGAGGAAACACUGAAUCAAAUGGUUGAGGGGUCAUACCAAUACUAUAAUAGGUGCAAUGUACAAUUGCAAAUAUGAGCACUUGGCUUCUAUCAGUUUAAGUGGGGACCUUAUUCUCCAUAACCUUGCAUUGGGAGCAAAGGCUGCUGAACUCAAGGAUCCUAAUGAACAGGUUGUUUCGGUUCUUGCAGCUGGGUUGUAUUCUAGUGUUUAUGACCAAGAGUCUCUGCUGCCCAAGCUAAUUGUUUGUCUGAUGGAUUUAAGGCCAGGUACUGAGGGUGCUUGAUUAUUCACGGAAUAGUCGACACCUCUUGGUGACUGCAGGUGAUGAUGGGACUUUACAUUUGUGGGAUACUACUGGGCGUAGCCCAAAGGUAUUCAGUAUUUCCAUUAUUGGGUUCGGAAACAUGUACAUACUAUGGGACGUCUGAUGUGGUUUAAUGAAUUGUAUGCAUAAGAAGAGUUUCAUUUAACUUAUUGAAUGCCGUGCUUACCUUGGUCCUUUCAAAGCUAGAUUUCAAAUCCUUUGUUAGAAAAAUCCUGAUGAUUUUGUGCUUGUGUCGUCAUAGUUAUUGUUCAGUAAUUGUAAUUUUGAAUGAGAUGUGGCAGCACAGAAUUUGAGAAAGUACAUCCAGAAGUCAAGAUGAUUUCCUUUAAUUUAGCAAAUGUUUUUAUUCCAAAUAAUAUUUAGAUGUUGAAUUAGGCUGCUCCCUACCUUGAAAUAUUUCAGAUAUGGUCAUCAUCUUUUCUGAUAGGGGAUCUGCUGCUUAUCAUGGAAACAUUCGACUUACACUAUGGUCAAGCCAUUCAUGCAUCUUUCUAAUAUCCUCUUUUUCUUCCACUCAUCAGAUUUUUGGCGUUGGCCAGUAAUAGGGGGGUUGGUUAAAAAUGGGGUAGAGAAAUUUUUGACAUGCUCUCUUCUGUUUUGGGUUCAUUAGUAUUAUCAUGUCCAAUAUUAAUUCCUCGUCACACCGUAGAUGCCCUUGUUUUAGGUUUGAAACAAUUUUUCAGGAUCAUAAUAAUCACUUUUCUGCUUACAGGUUUCUUGGUUGAAACAGCAUUCUGCACCAACUGCUGGGAUUAGCUUCUCAUCCGAUGAUAAGGUAUAGUCUUUAUCUUAUUAACUCGGAACCUUUUUGCAAUAAAUUGACAGAGACGUAAGAAGGUGAAUAUAUCAUGCUCUGAAACAGUCCCGUAUGGGGUCAUCCAGUGAAAGUAAUUAAACGUUAUUUUACCUAAUGUUCUCCUUGUGACAGAUAGUUGCUAGUGUUCGACUGGAUAAGAAGCUAUACACUUAUGACCCAGGGUCUAGAAGACCCCCAUCUUGCAUCACAUAUGAGGCACCUUUCUCUUCGUUAGCAUUUAUAGAUGAUGAUUGGAUAUUGACAGCAGGAACAAGUAAUGGCCAUGUGGUGUUCUAUGAUAUUCGCGGCAAACCACAGCCGUUAACUGUUCUUCGUGCUUGUAGUAGUUCAGAGGUGACUUCUUUACUUGUGUAUGUAUUUUAAUAUAGAAUCCCAGAAUUUGCAAAUGUCUCUUUAAUGUUGUUUUUCUUGUAGCAAUUGCUUGUGACAUCAACAUGUUGUAAUCAGUUUUGGCUUGUGUGUAUAUUAUUUUUUGAGUGUAUUAAACUAUGUGUUGACGUAUUCAUUAUUAACAUGCUAAGGUUUCAUUUUACUGUAUAAGAGGCCUUUCUCUUGUUGACCUAAGGUUCAGGUUGAUGUUGUUUGCCUUAUUUUUUGUUUGUGGAGUUCGGAGAAUUAAAAUCAUGUUUUUGCAGUCUAUAUAAAUACUAAGUAUUUGAAGUGUUUAUAAGGCUGUGUCAAGUUUGUGCUGGCAAAGAGCAAAGCCAGUUUUUAUUGAUGAGACUACUUGCAAAGCUGAGACUGCUCUCCUAGGAGAUGCUGUCGGGGACUCUAUUCUUAUGCCUGACCCACAUCCCUCGGUGACAUCAUCAAGUGUUUCACUGUCCACUGCAGUAUCCGGUUCUCGUCGUAAUAGCCAUUCAGGUCCUUCUGCAGAAGCAUCUUCUCUUACUGUGGGUGGUACUGGUUCUGUAUCUAGGACCCAAAGUCUGCCUUCAGGAGAGGAAACACCACAACGUAGCUAUCUCCGUCCAGGCGGACCAUUGGCAAGAUUACAUGCCCCUCGAUCUAGUUAUAAUUUUAAGGAUGAUAUGGAAGUGUUUUCCCCUCUUGUUGAUGUUCAGCCAAUUACACCAUCACUUGAUAAACUGUGGGAUGGUCAUGGAGGAGCAAAGAAAGAUCAUCUACCCAUUGACAAGAAGCCUUCAUCCAUGUUGUUUCCUUCAUCCAGCAGGAGAUUCCCUUACGCAGAGGAUGGUGCAAAUGAGCACUCAGUAUUUGAUUGGAAAUCUAGUUCAACAUCUAAACAGGUUUGUCCUCAUUUCAGUUUUGUUUCCGGAUGCUUCCUGCAAUGUGUGAAUAUUUAUUUCUUUCUUCUGGGUGUAAGAUAUUAAUUUCAACCUUUAGCACACUUUUAUUUUGGUGUAGCUACUUUGGCGAGUACUCUAAAUAUACACUGUUGGAAGAAGACAACAGCUGUUUUCUACAUCGUACUGGACGUUUGGCAUAGUGUCAAAAUAUUCUCAAAGGCAAUAAUUCAACUGCCUUUGGGUCUUAGAAGUCAUGAGAUUUUUUGCCGUCCAAGUUAGCUUCUGUUUUCUCAUGGUUUCUUUGUUUUUAAUCUUAAUCGCAUGUUAGGGGAGAUAUGAAUGUGAAUUGGCUACAAUCUUGUAUGUAUGGUCAGUUAUUUUAGAUAUUUUAUGCAUAGCUCAGGUAAAUUGGAUUGUUCUCCAGAACUUGAUGUGUUUUCAAUUUCUUCGUGGCAUUGCAUUUAUGUUUGUCUUUUUGCAGGAUGAUGCCAGAUCUUUUGCGCUAUUGGGAUCAACACCUUCUCCAUCUUCCAAGAGCGAAGACUCUUCCAUCACUCCUCCAGAAGCCUGGGGUGGUGAGAAAUUAUCUGACAAAUUUGCCCUCCUCCGUCAGCCACUCAAUAUGCCAUCUCGUUAUGGGAUGUCAACUUCUAGUGGUCUCACAUCAAGUUCAAUGUAUUCUGGACUGCAAGAUGUGUCACCGGGUCAGACAAGUAUUAUCUAAUUGACAGAUUCUAACCUGAGCCGUGAAAACCUGCGUACCAAAGAUGUCACUUCAUAUCAGGAGACUUCGUCUUUGGGAUUUCCAGAACACCUCUCAUCUAGUUUCCCAUCUCUGUCUCUUGGUACAAAAGGCAUCCUGGGAUCAGGUAACCUUGACUCAUCGAGAACGUCAUCUUUAACAUUGACUCACCGAGAACCUCGAAGGACGUAUGCUGAGAGAAUUAGCACUACUUCUGGGACAUCCCUUUCAGUCGGUUCACCUAAAACAAAGAAAACAGGAGCAGAAACCAAGGAAGAACUUUUAAGUAACUUCUUAUCGAGGUCUGACACAUCAGCUGUAGUAGAACC